GAUUGAUUGGCUACAUCACAGGGUUCCGAUACCUUUUCCUGGAGUAAUUGGCCGUCUUGUGAGACCUAACUAGGACUGGACACUCCUGGCAAUUCCUGACACGACGAUGAGACUGGUACGACGAACGACCGCUUGCUACACCCAUUGAUUCGCUACCUCCCCUCUCCCCACACCAAUCACAUGCUGAAUGAGCACCGUCAAUCGUAGCAGUAGAGAUUCAAGCUGAUUCCUGUGAUCUGCAUUGAUUUGGGUUCCUGUGCUGUACCGGGGCUGCAGGAGGAUCACAAGAUCUCUCCUGCUUCCCCCGGGAUGGCGAGAGCUUCACAACAAUAAAGCAAACACUUCUGCA
This is a long non-coding RNA of Alligator mississippiensis (American alligator), 349 nucleotides long. RefSeq lists it as uncharacterized. The record is from RefSeq and is a predicted model, not a curated record. NCBI's taxonomy places the organism in Eukaryota, Metazoa, Chordata, Crocodylia, Alligatoridae. The transcript has 3 exons.